AGUGAACGCUGGCGGUAGGCCUAACACAUGCAAGUCGAACGGCAGCACAGUAAGAGCUUGCUCUUACGGGUGGCGAGUGGCGGACGGGUGAGGAAUACAUCGGAAUCUACUUUUUCGUGGGGGAUAACGUAGGGAAACUAACGCUAAUACCGCAUACGACCUACGGGUGAAAGCAGGGGAUCUUCGGACCUUGCGCGAUUGAAUGAGCCGAUGUCGGAUUAGCUAGUUGGCGGGGUAAAGGCCCACCAAGGCGACGAUCCGUAGCUGGUGUGAGAGGAUGAUCAGCCACACUGAGACUGGGACACGGUCCAGACUCCGACGGGAGGCAGCAGUGGGGAAUAUUGGACAAUGGGCGCAAGCCUGAUCCAGCCAUACCGCGUGGGUGAAGAAGGCCUUCGGGUUGUAAAGCCCUUUUGUUGUGAAAGAAAAGCAGCAGGUUAAUACCCCGCUGUUCUGACGGUACCCAAAGAAUAAGCACCGGCUAACUUCGUG
RNAcentral lists this ribosomal RNA (492 nucleotides) under uncultured bacterium. RNAcentral describes it as "partial 16S ribosomal RNA". It matches the Rfam family "Bacterial small subunit ribosomal RNA", at positions 29 to 507 of the family's 1533-position model. The record is from RNAcentral.